AUAUUUUUUUCAAUUUUUUAUUCUGUUUCGGUGUAUAAGCAACUGAAUUUGCAUUUUGUUAGAAAUGUUAUUCAAGUAUGCAUUGUGAUUGAUUUUUAGAAUCUCAUUAUUUCAAAAUCCAAUCUAGCUUCGACAUGCUAAUAGAUAAUAAUAUGUAUUGUAGAUUCUCUCUUGUUAUGUGAUCAGAGACGUUAUGUCGUGCCAUGAAAUCUUAUUGCCGAAAGCUCCUCUUUGCUUGUUUGUCGUUGUAAGGAGUAAUUGUUGAUUCAACAACCUAAUACAUUAUUUCUUUGAUGCCUAAAGUCUGUUCUUUUAAGUAGAAUCUUUAAACAUGUUCAAAGUUUGAAUUGGUGAUUUUGUGAGUUGUUAUUUUUGACUUUAGAUUGGUUAUUCGUUGUUGAAAUAUCUUGCUUUCUCAUGAGAUUUUCGCUGCUCUAAAUAUCUCACGUAACGCACAUAGAUCCCAAAUAUACAAUUUGAUCAUGUCUUACUUCUAGUUCUCCAAGCAUAAUCGUGUGAAGUGCAUACUAUUUAUCGUGAUCGUUCUCUUGAUAUGGUUUCUUCUGCUUUAGUAUAAACAAAAUUUUGAAUUGUAAUCUAUUUCUACAUUAUAUGGGAGAGCUAGGAUGCCGAUUUGAAGUUUACCGCAAUUAUGAACUUACAGUAGAGGAGCUGAAAAAGUAAGCUUAAAUUAUAUGCAUUUUGUUUAAACGUAAUAUGGCAAAUCAAUUGGUGUUGAUUCUUUGAUUAUGUUCUCCCUUUUGCAGUAAAAAUCCAAGAGUAAUGUUGAUUUCUCCUGGACCUGGUAAAUAUUUUGGCCUCUGAAAUUUCUUCAAUAAUUAUGUGGUGUAUCUUGUGGUGGAUAACACUUUUCUUGAAUUUGAUAGGUACCCCUCAAGACUCUGGGAUUUUCUUUCAAACAGUUUUGAAACUUGGACCUCGUGUUCCUUUAUUUGGAGUAUGUAUGAAUUUGCAGUGUAUAGGAGAAGCAUUUAGAGGUUAGUUGCAUCUAAAGAAGACAACAUAUUUUCCCGUAUCAGUGUUCUAACAUGGUUUUAGUCUUUAUAUUAUGUAUCCACAACUUAAAUGCAAUAUUGUUUGAUCAUUAAUUAGGAAAGAUUGUGCGGUCACUAUUUGGUGUUAUGCAUGGGAAAAGCUCAAUGGUUCACUAUGAUGAGAAAGGAAAAUAAUGCUUGUUCUCUGGAUUAUCCAAGUAUAAAUCAGAUUUGUUUGUGUUGUAUUAAUCAUAAGUUUAUAAAUGUUUAAUAAUAAAACAAAACUUGUUGGCCUGUUGUUUUCAGCCCUUUCUUUGUAAGUAGAUAUCACAGCCUCGUCAUCGAAAAAGAUUCAUUCCCUAGUGGUGAACUCGAGGUUACAGCAUGGACAGCAGAUGGUCUGGUUAUGGCUUCCUGUCACAUGAAGUAUAAGCAUAUACAAGUAAAACCACUCAAGUGUUUUCAUGUAUCUUAUUGCCUCCAUUCAAAACAGAGCUCUUGAAGUCUUGUAAAAAUUGUUCACAGGGAGUUCAAUUUCAUCCGGAGAGUAUUAUAACAACUGAAGGCAAGACAAUUGUCUGCAAUUUCAUCAAACUCGUAGAGAAAAAGGAAUCUGAGAAGCUGACAUAGACUAGUCUGGAUGAGAAAAUCAGCUGUGUUUGAUUAGUUCCUCCCUGUAAUAAUGUCUGCCAAUGCAAAAUAUAAUCUUUCCAUUGUUUUUAUCAUAAAUAUUUUACAGAUGCCUAGCGACAAAAAUGGCAGAGGGCUUAGUGGCUUUGAUGGUGACGGGGAGUCUCAUUCAUUCAACGUCCGAUUAAUUAAGGUACGUUUUAAGAUUUUAUUUGGAGUUUAAUCACAAAAAAAUAGUAUUAGUAAAGAAAUUUGAAAAACCCAAUGUAAUUUCCAAGUGAAUAAGAAUAUGUAUUUGGAGGUAAAUCACAGAGAAAAAAUAGAAAGAAAAAAAGACUUUGUUUUGGGAUAUUAUUUGCUGAUGAGAAACUUUUAUUUGGUAUAUAUUCGUUUCUAUGGUUUACAUCUUUUAUAUGUUUCAAGAUUUCAUAAACACAAUUAUCAUAAAUUUUAACGACACCAAGGCGUAAAUCUUAACUACAACAAUUGUUUCAAAGAUAUUUUAAAAGAUUUCUCAACUAAAAUUAUGUAAAAUCUUCAAUCAUAUACAAUCCUACCUAUAUUGUUAAUUCUAAAUAUUUUUAUCUUCCCUAAAAACUUUCUAUCAUUCAUUUCAAUGUGUAGGAGUUGGAGAUGGAUCUAAGAGAAUCAAGAGCAAAAUGAAAAAUUGUGGUGGGUCACCAUGCUAUAAAGAGAGCUUGAAUCUCUCUCUUACCCAUCCUUGAGGUUCAUUUUUUUCUUAAUUAUGUCAAUGUAAUUUAAAAUAAAAAGCUAACUUUUGCAUUUUUUUAAUGUUUAUAUUUCAAUAUUUCUUUCCAAAUUAUGUAUAUUUCUAAAAAUUUAAUAUUUUCACUUGCUCAUAACUAUCUUUGCAAAAGACAAACGCAAGAGAGUUGAUAUUUUCAGUUUGUUAUUAGCAAAUAAAAUUUUUUUGAACUGCCAAAAUUAAGUAGAAAUUUCCUUUAGAAAAGAGAAAAAAUAAAGCACACUACUAUUAUAAUAUGUAACUAUUUUUGGAAAAUUUCAGGCGAAUAAAUUCGAUCUCUAUAUGAAUGGUCAUGAUCAUUGCUUGCAACAGAUAAGCACAUCUCAAAGGUAAAACCAAUUAAUUGGUAUAUAUAAAUAAAGCUGGGUUUGGAUGAAGCGGAUAAUGAAUGAUAAAGUUAUGGAUUAACAUUUUAUUAUGUUUUUGCAGUCGAAUUCAGUUCUGAACGAGUGGAGGUGGGUCAAAGGUAUGAAGAGGCUAUUACAAUUGGACAACACCAGAUGAUAUGAAAUUUUUCUACGAUGGACAAGGUUUCAGGUCAGUUAAAAUCACUAGAUCAUAAAUGAGUGUCGUUUUUUAUGAUGUCUCUGGCAACAUUUUACACAAAUGGGACACAUCAAAAAUGUUAGACACGGAUUUUUUUUUUCAUUGUAAUUCACAUGAAAAUCAAUAUUGAAGCACAUAAAAUUGUUCAUAUCAAAUAUGAAUCUUAUGAGUGGUUCCAAAUAUUUAAGUAAAAUCUGAAAAAAAUACAUGAAGGUCAUGCAAACUAUGGGAUUUAUCACCGCUUGUUUAGCUAAACCAUGAUGUUAACUUAAUUGUUUUUCGAUCCAUUAGUUAUUGCAUGGCACCAAACAAACAUAUACCAUCAAAUUUGGAGGUUCGUUCAAUACUUGAUGAAUAUAAUAAAUAUGUUUGGCCAUUGUCCGCUAACAUAUAAUAACGUCCAUAUAAAACAUUGGAGCGACAUAAUUUAAUGGGAAAAAAACUUCAACAUUCGUGUCUUUUACAAUUCAAACUAAACCAACAAGAAAAAUAAAACCAAAGAAGAUACAUAAACCGGAUAUGGUAAAGGAUAUGCAAAUACAUGAAUCUAAAUUAAGAAAUAACAUCCUGUAUUUGUUCAUACUUUAAGAUAUGAAAAUUCAUUUCCUAAUUUUGUUCAUAUAUUUUACCAAAUUAUCUAGACAUUUAUGUUAGAUAUGUGUACAAUAGUCCUGCGAAUGGACUAAUUCCAAACGCUAUUUUAGAUAACUAUGAUAUUGACUUUGACCAAACAAAAGAGAUUUCUAAUUAAAUUAACUAAUUACUCACCUACUAAUUAAGCAUGUGGUUCAUGUUCCACAAAAACGCACCGUUUCACCUGUCAAAUUUCCCAAUCCCUCUCUCAAAUGUUUUUAAACUCCUCUCUCUUCGAAUCAGAGAAGAAUCUAUUCUUCUCCGACAAUGGUGGCUACUACACUGUACAAGUAUGUCUUCUUCAACCCAAGUCUGGCUCCACCACUCACUGCCUAAACCCUUCUCUCGUUAACCCUCUUACGAAUCCGACAAGAAAGUCUUCGGUUUCGAGAUAGAGGCGUUUUGUUCGAAUCAAAGUUUCGAAUUUUAUCUAUUUUUGUUUCCUCUGCGAUAUAGGAGUUUCGGUUUUGGGGAAGAGUCGUAGAGAUGUCUUUGCAAAAGAUUCGAUUGAAAUGGCGGAAUCGAAUUCGACACCUUCUGUUUUUGUCAAUUCCUCUAAGCAGAAUGGUUCUAUCAUCGUGAUUGAUAAUUACGACAGCUUCGCUUACAAUCUCUGCCAUAUUUUUUUCAAUUUUUUAUUUUGUUUCGGUGUAUAAGCAACUGAAUUUGCAUUUUGUUAGAAAUGUUAUUCAAGUAUGCAUUGUGAUUGAUUUUUAGAAUCUCAUUAUUUCAAAAUCCAAUCUAGCUUCGACAUGCUAAUAGAUAAUAAUAUGUAUUGUAGAUUCUCUCUUGUUAUGUGAUCAGAGACGUUAUGUCGUGCCAUGAAAUCUUAUUGCCGAAAGCUCCUCUUUGCUUGUUUGUCGUUGAGUAAUUGUUGAUUCAACAACCUAAUACAUUAUUUCUUUGAUGCCUAAAGUCUGUUCUUUUAAGUAGAAUCUUUAAACAUGUUCAAAGUUUGAAUUGGUGAUUUUGUGAGUUGUUAUUUUUGACUUUAGAUUGGUUAUUCGUUGUUGAAAUAUCUUGCUUUCUC
This 4600-nucleotide long non-coding RNA is filed under the name Arabidopsis lyrata. RNAcentral's name for it is "long non-coding RNA (ALYR_LNC001641)". Lineage: Eukaryota; Viridiplantae; Streptophyta; Magnoliopsida; Brassicales; Brassicaceae. The record is from RNAcentral.